RNAcentral lists this long non-coding RNA (1773 nucleotides) under Homo sapiens (human). Its description in RNAcentral is "HSALNT0315912". The record is from RNAcentral. Lineage: Eukaryota; Metazoa; Chordata; Mammalia; Primates; Hominidae.
CUUGCUAUGUUGCUUAGGCUGGACUUGAACUAUGGGGCUCAUGAAAUUCCCCCACCUGUCUCAGCUUCCUGAAUAGCUGGGCUGCAGUGUCUGGCCUAUUAGAUGAUAUUUUAGUAAAUGACUUGACUGACGGUUGUAAAUUUCUCCAUCAAACUAAAGUGAAAUGUUUGGCUCCAAUAAAAUAUAUUCAUUCUAAUUAAAAGUGUAUGGCACAAAUCCAUUGUGAAUACUUGAACUAUGUGUUAAAAUAUUCCUGAGCAUAGUAGUAAUAUGUAAAAGGCCAGCAAGAAAAUUCGAACUAGGAGGUAAACAAUCUCUGAGAAUAUUGUAUCAAAUUUGAGAACAUUAAACUCUUACAAGAUAGGAGUGUUUUUGAAUAAAACUGAUACAUCCUGUAAAGAAAAGUAUACUCUAAAUCAUAUCCAUGUAUACAAUUAAGAGGCUGUAGAGCCAUUGAGCAUGAAUUACCACAAGUAAUAAGGUAUAGUCCGUUUCCCAAGUAAUUGCUUGUUACUUGUUAUCUUAGGUACACCAGCAGUCAAGGUGCUGGCAUAUGACAUAGACCUCUUCAAUCACUUGCACCUUUUGGAGUUGGAAAUACAAAAACUAGACUGGAAAUCAAGACAGCUUCUCUGUGUCAAAGCCCCAGGUAGAUCCGCCAGCAUGAGCUGCUUCAUGAUUGAUGAUCCAGCAAGCUGUUACAACCAUUCAGAGAGCACGCUGUGUCUUCAUUUUUACCCUAUUAACUUAAAUGCCAGGGUUCAUUGGCACAUUACAGUUGCUAAAAUUCAAUCUGACCAACCACAUGGAAGAAAAAAAGACUGAAAAUUUAGUCAGAAAUCUCUCGGUAUAUACGUAUCCAUCACAUUACUUAUGAAAGUUGUCUGGUCCAAAAUACAGGCUUUGCCAUCUGUGGUAAUAAAUCUAAUGGCAAACUUCACAUGGUUACCUGUGAUCAUGCUUAAAAACAGACACACAUCUGAUAAUGCCAUUACUGUAGUUAGAAAUGUUUGACCACACCGAAGCUUUUUAAAAAAUUACCAGAAAUAAGUUAAACUUCAUCCAUAAAUAUAUAAAUAAAUGCAAACUUAAUGGUUAUUGUCUCUAAAUCUAUCCUCAUGCUCUUAUUUUACCUAGCUGUAUCUCUUACUCUACACUGCUGGGAAAUUCUAGGCUCUAUAUUCCCGCAAUACAGACCAUAAAUAGUCCUGCCACCAUGUCACCUACUUUACCUCUAUGUCUUUGUUCAGGUGAUUUUCAUUUUUGGAAUAUUCUCUUUUUAACCGUAGAACAACUAAAAUCCUACCUAUCCCUCAAGGUCUGGUUGUAAACAUUAGUGCUACUUGCAGGCUACCUCAGUUCUGAAGACGGAGUUGUUAUCUUCCUCCUUCGUUCUCACAAACGACUUCAUAUCUACUGAUAUAGCUAGGAUAUUUGUUCCUGCCCAAGUCUGAUGUUGAAUUGUAACCCACAGUUCUGGAGGUGGGGUCUGGUGGGAGGUGUUUGAAUCAUGGGGGCAGAUUCCUCAUGGCUUGGUGCUGUCUUCAUAAUAGUGAGUUCUCGGGACUUCUGGUAAUUUGAAAGUGUGUGUGGCACCUCUUCCCGGACUCACUCUUUCUUGCUCCUGUUUUCACCAUGGGACAUGCAAGCUUCCACUUCACCUUCUGCCAUAAGUAGAAGCUUCCGAAGGCCUCACUAGAAGCCAUGUUUCCAGUACAGCCUGCAGAACUGUGAGCCAAUGUAUUGGCCCAUUCUCAUGCUGCUAUGAAAAAA